This 2203-nucleotide long non-coding RNA is filed under the name Marmota monax (woodchuck). The record is from RNAcentral. Lineage: Eukaryota; Metazoa; Chordata; Mammalia; Rodentia; Sciuridae.
UUUUUUUUAACCACAGAUUGAACCCAGGGUCUCAACCACUGAUCCACAUCCCCAGACCUUUGUAAUUUUUAUUUUGAUAGGGUCUCAGGACCUCACUAAGUUGCUGAGGCUGGCUUUGAAUCUGCAAUCCUCCUGCCUCAGUUUCCCAAGACACUGGGAUUAUAUAUGUGCCACCAGACCCAGCUAGACAGAGAGAUUCUAAGGAGUCUCCUCAGUCCCAUGACCCAGUACAGCCCCAAGAGUGCCCUGAUGACAGGUGUCAACUGCUGCACUGCCCCUACUUCCAGAUGUUGUCACAUGUUAGAACCCCAAUAGCAGCAGGGUACGGUGAUGUACCCUGUAAUCUCCUCUGUUCAGCAGCUCGGGAGGCUGAAAUAGGAGAAUUACCAGUUCAAAGCCAGCCUCAGCAAAAAGCAAGGCGCUAAGCAACUCAGUGAGACACUGCCUCUAAAUAAAAUACAAAAUAGGGCUUGGGAUGUGGCUCAGUGGUCAUGUGCCCCUGAGUUCAACCCCUGGUACCCCUCCUCAAAAUAACCCAAAUAACCCCAAACCCAGGUAAAGAGGCUGCCAGAGGCCAUGCUGGGAUUGAGCUGGGGUGAAAGAUGGUGUGGCCCAGGGUUAUUCUUGCUUCCUUUCCUCCAGGAGCUUUAGUACCUAGCAAAAUAGGAUCAAACCCUGCAGAGAUCCUUCAGCUUGCUGUGGGCACAGCAAACCAGAGACCACUCUUGCCCUUGCUGAUGGAUUCCCUGCCACAAUUAUUUUUCAUACCCUUCCCCUACUUGUUCCCUACUCUGUACCUGAUUCACACUUCUCUCAGACUCCCAUUAUACCUGGCUCCCACAGGGGCACGAUCCUGACCGUUUCUGAAUCUCAACCAAGUAAGCAUCCCCUGGGAGAUGCAGCAUGCCCACUCCAUAUGGGUCAGGAUGUGAAGCAUCUGACACCUUCAGCUGAUUGUGAGGAGGACAUGGUGAAAAGGGAGAACUUUUAAACAGUAGGUUCUAGACAUGAAGCCCUGAGGCUUAAGCCAGAGUGAAUAUGCAGUAUAAAGAGUUACACCAGGAGCGGGUAAGCUGCCAAGCAAGAAACAGAAGCCCAAGGACUAAGGGAAGGAAGGAUCAGGGAAGGUCCUGAAGCCCACUCUGCCUUGUUUCCAAAGAUGUCACAGACCCUGCAUCCAUUCAGCUAGCGAAAAGCCAGGUAUGGGAGCUUCUGAGAGGCAAAGACCUAUCUCUGCUUGUCAACAACACAGAGCCUUUGACAUCUCAUCACUGGAUGUAGCCACAGUAGCCAACAUGCUGCUGUCAUACCAGAGCCACACUGUGGGCUCCCCUGCUCUUCAGCCAGGUGAAGCACCUCCCUUCUUCUUGCUGGCCAGACUUAUACCCUGCCCUUGGGCUAUUGCUUUUCCUCUAUCCCAAGGGCCUCCGGCAGGGGAGGGAACAUGAACAGGUCCAGGCAGGGGAAGGAAUACGGCUCCAAUUCCCCUGAUACCUGCUCCUCUGCUAAGUCAUGUAGACCUUUCCAUGGAAUAACAUCAGCUUUGUUUCCAGGUGCAGAAAAUAUUUUUUUUAAUAUUUAUUUUUUAGUUUUCGGUGGACACAACAUCUUUUGUUUGUAUGUGGUGCUGAGGAUCGAACCAGGGCUUUACGCAUGCCAGGUAAGCCCGCUACCUCUUGAGCCACAUCCACAGCCCUGCAUAAAAUAUUAAUUGCUGAGACCUUGUUCCUUCUUGCCUGCACCCCUUUCCUUUGUCCCAGGCCUUUGGGUCACAGUUGAGGAAAGCUGCUAGGAUCCAUUCCCUGAAAGACCUGAGCAGGAUACAAGCUGCCAUUUUCAACCUUUGUAGCAUUGCAGGCUCUAUGACAAAAAUUCUGGGUUGGGCCUGCAGACACGAUGUGUCUUACUGCUGUAGUAAGGUAACCGGAGUGGGAGGACCUGGGAUUUUGGUAGCAUUUAGGAUUUCCUUAGGUUGGUGAUAGCCCUUCCAGUUCAUUCCUCUUCUAGACUGCUCUGAACAUACUGACCUGGUGCCAGGCUCUGGUUGAAGGCAAGGAAGGCAUCCUGUGUGCCAGCAUCCAUUCCAGGUGGGUGAAUACCCAGAUGGCCCAUUCUAAUUUGCACACUACAAGUCAGUUCUCUAAUUCCCAACAUUAUAGCCCUGUGGGAAUAUGAGCACAGGACUGCUCAGCUGGGUUCUUAG